UAGUACACUCUCAAUAGCAGCAGCAGGAGAACAUUAUAGAAGAGUAAUGAGCAGUGUAAACUGUGAAUAAGAGGAAAUGAUCUACUGAGAAACAAAACUGCCCAGGAAGAGUAAGAGCCACCGCAACAUUUGUGCACAGCAAACCAAUAAACACAAGCAAAUCAAGAUGGCGCCCAUCCAAUGUCUGCCCUCCAUUAGUCGUCCUGACAAAAGCAGAACAGAGGGCUGGAGUCAAAACAUCUCAUCCCAAGGAGCUGUAUCAAAAUGAGGAAACUGUUGGAGUAGUGGUUUGGUCCAGACUGGAAGGUGGAAAUGUGGGGGUGGAAUGGAAAAAUCAAUACCAAGAAUUGCUCAAGGGCAAGGUAAUUUUUAUUCCAUCCAGCACCGAAGCAUCCAGAUUCCACUGAAACUUUAAACUCUUGCAUACU
This is a long non-coding RNA of Hyla sarda, 428 nucleotides long. RefSeq lists it as uncharacterized. Lineage: Eukaryota; Metazoa; Chordata; Amphibia; Anura; Hylidae. The transcript has 3 exons. The record is from RefSeq and is a predicted model, not a curated record.